UCACCUCUAGGAGUGUACAUGUAAUUUCAUCUUCUUGAUCAUCCAGUCCUUUCAUAGACUGUUAGAGGACUGUGAGGAGCCCACAGCAGUAGCUCAGAGGUGGAGCACACUGGGACACAGAUCCAGAUUCCGCGAACAAUUACCAGCCUAGGCCCGUCCUCAGCACUCCCAUUAGGAGUUGAGUGGGUUGUUUGAGGACAACGUCUGCACCAGGAGAAUUCUCCACCCAUAAUCUACUCUGCUGGCCCUUUUACUUGGUCUAGAGAGGAACCAAUGGAAGGGAUGUUCCCACUCCAAUGAGAUGUUGACUGCUGUUAAGGUGAACACCAGGACUGCUGACGGAUGCAAGGUUUUCACAAGCUGAGCAUCACUGGGCUGGAUCAGUACUUGAAUGGGAGACUUCAAUUACUGCAAGAAGUGAUAUUCUUCAUUCUAAGGCACUACUGAACUAAUGUCCCAAACACUGUCCUGUGGGAGAAAGCUUUGCUCAGGGAGGUUUCCAUAACAUCAACCACCAUGCUAAAACAAUAAAUGAAACUUAGUCUGGUUAUGAUAUAAACGUGUUGCAUCAAGCAAAACACUAGGAGUUUAUGUGCACACAGACAUCAGCG
This is a long non-coding RNA of Mauremys reevesii (Reeves's turtle), 611 nucleotides long. RefSeq lists it as uncharacterized. The transcript is spliced from 4 exons. NCBI's taxonomy places the organism in Eukaryota, Metazoa, Chordata, Testudines, Geoemydidae. The record is from RefSeq and is a predicted model, not a curated record.